RNAcentral lists this long non-coding RNA (2799 nucleotides) under Gossypium barbadense (sea-island cotton). RNAcentral describes it as "long non-coding RNA (GBAR_LNC003498)". The record is from RNAcentral. Lineage: Eukaryota; Viridiplantae; Streptophyta; Magnoliopsida; Malvales; Malvaceae.
UUUGUUCAUCAUAGCCUAAAGUUAGAGAAGAGAAAGAAGAGGAGAAAGCUCUUGAAUGUUCGAUCACUUGGGGAAGAAAAUUGAAGGUAAGUUCAUGGUAGUUUGCUUCUAUCUUGAUGUUCAUGAGUUCUUCUUGAUUCUACCUUAACUCUUGAAGCAUAUUUUGGUUUUUGGUUGUGUUGUGAGCAUUUGGUCAUGAAUUAAAAUGAAGGAAAUGGUUGUUGUUUCAUGUUCUUUUGAUGAAAAAUGGAAGAUAUGAGAAGUUGAGCCAAACAAAUGAGCAUGCAUGUGCUUAGAUGCUAAGGGGAAAAAUCGGCUAAUAUUUUGUGCUUUAAAAUGAUGAAAUAGAGAUUAUACUUAAGUAAAAUCAUAGUUAUGUGAUGAUUGAUUGGUGAUAUACAUGUUUAAAAAAAAAUGCAUGCAAGUUAUGUGUGAAAGAGUGAUUUGGUAAUAAAUCUGCUUGGGACAGCAGCAGUAACGUGACUUUGGAAAAUCACCAUAAAUUGUGGGAGAUGAGUUAGAAGCUGCAUAAAUUAUGUAAUUAAAGCUUAAUGAGUCUAGUUUCAAAUGGAAUAAACGAGAACAUAUUUUGAAUUCUGUACAAUGAGAAAUUUGAUUCGUAAUGAAGAGUGGUCAGAUUAGUCAAACAGUGAAACAUGCGAAACUUUGAGAAAAAUCUGGUAUCGAUUGGCCAAACCAAAAGUUCUGAAAAUUUUAUGGAUAGAAGAUAUAUGAGUCUAUUUUCAGGAAAAAUUAACAGAACUUGAUUUGGAGUUUCGUAGCUCCAGUUAUAAAUAAUUUAGUGACUGUUGCUCAGGAAGACAGCUUGCAGUGAAAUUAUGAUUAUGUGGUAAACAUUGACAAAAAUUUGUUAAUGAGUUGCUUAUUGAUUUCUUAUAAGCUUACUAUGAUCUGUAGGUGUGGUUGGCCGAAUAUUGUAAGGGGUUAAUACGUAGUUUGUAUUUGAAUAGUUACAUUAACGUGUUAGUAAUCCAAUUGUAGGCGGUUCGUGUGUGGAUCUCGUCAGCAUAUCGUCGCAAACAGGUGUGUAACUAACACCCUCUUUCUUAGUCUGGAUCGGCAAAAGUCGAAAAGCCGAAAUGCCGAAAACCGGUAUUUUGUAGAUUUGCGAGUGUGCGAAUGCUCGUGAGGUAAAUCGAUUAAUGUUUUUGGUAAGCUGUAAAAUUUGGACUGCAAAGUGCAUGAUUUCUAUGCCCUCGAUAUUUUUGGGCUUAAUGGGCCAAAAUUGGAAUGAUGGGCCAACGGGCCCAAUUCGGUAAGAACCCUCGGUACGUGAUUCUGUUAGUACAUGAAAAGUAGGAAUAUGCAUGAAAAACCCUAAAAUAGAUAAAUUACUGAAAUACCUUUAAAAGUGGAAAAUUUACAGUUUUACCCCUAGUAGAUAAAUUAGCGAAAUACCCCUAGGGUUAAAUUGACCUAAAUGCAUGUUUGACUGUUGUUAUUUACUGCAUGCCAUGUUGUUAUUAUCUGAUGCGUGGGAUUGGGAUAUUGACGGAGGAAGUACUGAAAGUGGCUUGUCUACGUACUGGAGGCUUUGCCUCAAUUUACUGUUAACUGAGCAGCAAUGCUGCAACUGUGGAGUGUUAGGCUGGGUGGGUUGAGCAAUUCCCCACAUGGAGUGUAUGGCUAGUACGGGUGGAGUGUAGUGGUUGGUGGGUUGAGUAGUCUCCCCAAAUGGGCUUGCAUAUGUUUAUUGAUGUUGCAUGUAUUUCCAAAUGGACCAAUGGGCCAUACUGUUAUCUGAAUAAGGGGCUAAGGCCCAGUUUAUGUAAUUUGAAAAGGGCUCUGGCCCAGUAUCACUGUUACCUGAAUGGGCUUAGGCCCAAUGGGCUUGAGCUGACUUGGGCUUUGAAUGGGUUUUCCUUACACACUGAGUUUCCCCAAACUCACCCCUUUUAUUUUCAUCCACGCAGGAAAUCCCCAACCAUAGUGGGCUUAGAGCUGUGAGGGAAUUCGGAGUGGCCACCCGUUCUGAAAGUUUGGUUUUCUUCUGUGAACUGGACAUCCUAUUAUUUACGUUGAGGUUUGGGUUUUUAAAUGUAAUAAGGCCGCUUAAUUAUUUUUGAUGGUUUUAAUAUGUGUUACUAAGAUAGGUAUUACUUAUUUUAACUGUUGAAAUUGGAUAGCUUUAGGGCGCGUUUUCAAAAACAACAAUUGAUUUCAAAAUAAUACGACAACAAGCAAAGCUUCCGCAAUGAAAGUAUUUUCCAAAAUUAAUCACUUUUCCUAAAAAUGACUUAAUCAAAAUCGGUUUCCUAGAAAUAUCCAUGACGUUAAGGUGUGGCAAUGGCGGUAUGCAUGUCUAGGAUUGGAUCCGAAGGGAGCUUGGUACUUAAGCAGUCCGAUGGACUCACCACCUCUUUUCCGGUUUCCUACCUGGUGCACAGCUUCCAUUCAUUUUAACCUAUAAUGAAAUUAUCUUUUAAAACACUAAGUAAGUUUUUUUUUCUGGAUCAACAAUAUAAAAUGUUUUGAACGCUUCGAUGUGGCAUGUCGGAUCCGGUCAUAACAUCUGGGCCGGGUUUGGGGUGCUACAGAGCCCAAAUUUUAAAACCUAAUUAAAACCCAAACUACCCAAGCCCAAUUCUAACCCUAGCCCAUUACAAAGAAAACAGCAGCAACCCUAGCUGCCAAUGUUUUUAACUGCCGCUCCUCAUCAGCAGGGCCACCACACGCGCCAUUUCGUCGCACCGCACGCCAUUUCUGACACCUGCAAAGAGAUUAAUGCAAAGCAUCAGAAGAAGUAAAUAGCAAAAGAACAAAAACCAUGAAACGAAC